UACCACCCUUUAAUGUUUGAUGUUCUAACGUUGACCCGUAAUCCGGGUUGCGGACAGUGUCUGGUGGGUAGUUUGACUGGGGCGGUCUCCUCCUAAAGAGUAACGGAGGAGCACGAAGGUUGGCUAAUCCUGGUCGGACAUCAGGAGGUUAGUGCAAUGGCAUAAGCCAGCUUGACUGCGAGCGUGACGGCGCGAGCAGGUGCGAAAGCAGGUCAUAGUGAUCCGGUGGUUCUGAAUGGAAGGGCCAUCGCUCAACGGAUAAAAGGUACUCCGGGGAUAACAGGCUGAUACCGCCCAAGAGUUCAUAUCGACGGCGGUGUUUGGCACCUCGAUGUCGGCUCAUCACAUCCUGGGGCUGAAGUAGGUCCCAAGGGUAUGGCUGUUCGCCAUUUAAAGUGGUACGCGAGCUGGGUUUAGAACGUCGUGAGACAGUUCGGUCCCUAUCUGCCGUGGGCGCUGGAGAACUGAGGGGGGCUGCUCCUAGUACGAGAGGACCGGAGUGGACGCAUCACUGGUGUUCGGGUUGUCAUGCCAAUGGCACUGCCCGGUAGCUAAAUGCGGAAGAGAUAAGUGCUGAAAGCAUCUAAGCACGAAACUUGCCCCGAGAUGAGUUCUCCCUGACUCCUUGAGAGUCCUGAAGGAACGUUGAAGACGACGACGUUGAUAGGCCGGGUGUGUAAGCGCAGCGAUGCGUUGAGCUAACCGGUACUAAUGAACCGUGAGG
Molecule: ribosomal RNA, 724 nt
Filed under: Escherichia coli
Lineage: Bacteria; Pseudomonadati; Pseudomonadota; Gammaproteobacteria; Enterobacterales; Enterobacteriaceae
Description: partial 23S ribosomal RNA
Rfam family: Bacterial large subunit ribosomal RNA
Source: RNAcentral